This 442-nucleotide long non-coding RNA is filed under the name Brassica napus (rape). RNAcentral's name for it is "long non-coding RNA (BNAP_LNC016219)". The record is from RNAcentral. Lineage: Eukaryota; Viridiplantae; Streptophyta; Magnoliopsida; Brassicales; Brassicaceae.
AGGUGGAUCGGCCAAGCACGAGGUGUUACGAUGCAUGCGACCAGGCCAUGCGGCCAGACAUGUGGAGGACGUGGUGUCUCCUUGCAUGGAGCCAGGCCAUGCAUCCAGACAGGUAGAGGGCGUGGUGUCACUUUGCAUGUGAGCAGGUCAUGCAACCAGCCAUGUGGAGCACGAGGUGUCGCCGCGCAUGCGUCCGGAGCCAUGCGAAGCGACACACAGGCUGCCACACGGCUUGUUUCUGAUUGGUUGCUGAUUCCUAUAAAUAGCCUAUGACCCCCUCUCAUUUGAACACAUUCAGAACACUUGAAAGUCCGUUCAAAACGUGAGAGAGAAAGCAAAGAAAGAAAUAUCGAGUUUCGAUAGUUUUCGAGCGAUUUAGGCAGUUUUCGAGAACAGUUAUUCUACCGAUUUUGAGCCAGUACCUGGAGAAGGUUCUGUUCAA